CCUACGGUGGGCAGCAGUGAGGAAUAUUGGUCAAUGGCCGAGAGGCUGAACCAGCCAAGUCGCGUGAGGGAAGACGGCCCUACGGGUUGUAAACCUCUUUUGUCGGGGAGCAAAGAGAGUCACGUGUGACUCAUUGCGAGUACCCGAAGAAAAAGCAUCGGCUAACUCCGUGCCAGCAGCCGCGGUAAUACGGAGGAUGCGAGCGUUAUCCGGAUUUAUUGGGUUUAAAGGGUGCGCAGGCGGAGGUGCAAGUCAGCGGUCAAAUUGCGGGGCUCAACCCCGUACUGCCGUUGAAACUGCAUCCCUUGAGUGCGCGAGAAGUAUGCGGAAUGCGUGGUGUAGCGGUGAAAUGCAUAGAUAUCACGCAGAACUCCGAUUGCGAAGGCAGCAUACCGGCGCGCAACUGACGCUCAUGCACGAAAGCGUGGGGAGCAAACAGGAUUAGAUACCCUUGUAGUC
RNAcentral lists this ribosomal RNA (459 nucleotides) under uncultured bacterium. RNAcentral's name for it is "partial 16S ribosomal RNA". It matches the Rfam family "Bacterial small subunit ribosomal RNA", at positions 338 to 795 of the family's 1533-position model. The record is from RNAcentral.